ACAACUAUAUGCGAUAGGAUUAAGCAGUCUGCGGAAGGGGCUAUUCAAGCUGUCAUUGAGUUUGUUACAAAGAGGGGAGCUGAGCUGAGUGAAACUGAUGUUUCAAGGACUACUCAAUCUUUGCUCUCCGCUGCAGCUCAUGUGACCGAGAAACAUUUACGGUUGGAAACUCUUGGGGCUAUUUCCUCUCUAGCAGAGAACACCAAUUCAAAAUUUGUUUUCAAUGAAGUAUUGGCUACU
Molecule: long non-coding RNA, 240 nt
Organism: Pistacia vera
Lineage: Eukaryota; Viridiplantae; Streptophyta; Magnoliopsida; Sapindales; Anacardiaceae
Exons: 3
Source: RefSeq, a predicted model, not a curated record